AAUACUUUUAAAAUGUGUUUUCUAGGCGAUUAGAAAAUAGAAUGAAGCUGAGGGCACUUAAUCCAAGUAAAAGCUUCUGGAUUGAUGACUUCUAAUAAAUGAAGCUUAUGUGAUCAGCAAACUAACAUCUAUCAAAAGUUUGCCACAUAAUCUAGAAUAAUUCUGUGAGGUGGAAAUUAUCUCUAUUCCACAGAUGACCUAACUAAGAAGAUGAAAAUUCCGGUUGUCUGCUAAUAUCAGAGGUGGUUGUAAGCCUGCUUCUAACUCGUUCAUUCAUGGAAGACAUGGAAGUGUUUACCAGAAGCCGGCAUUGUCUUGGGAAGGACACACAACAGUGAACAAGACGAGCUUUCUUCUCAUGCAGUGUACAUUCUAAUUGUGAAGCUAGGAAUCACAAACACAACAAUGUCAGGUCCAGAUAUGUGCCAUAACAACCAGACACAAAUUCACAGCUGGACAUCAAACUUCAUCACAGAUCCAGUCAUCUAGAAAUGGAAAAUUCCCAUCAGUAACCGUGAGUCCAUAACACAGAGCCACAAUGGCCAUUCUGCCCUCUCCGCCUGGAUGCUCUUCAGUGUAGAGGAAUUAAAGUCAGAGAAACUUUAAGAAGAAAAUAAAUAACAGAUUAUUUUGAAACAUUUAAACAAAGCAACAAACAGUGAGAAUUUACCCAAAGCAUAAGAGCUGAGGAGAAUGCUGGAGAGGACAAGGGGAUAUAAAUAACAGAGGAAAAACAAAACGAAACUCCAGUGCUAUGUAGAAUGGUAAGUAUCUUGGUGUUGCCCAUUCUGCUGUAGUUUCCUGCCUCUUCCUGAAAGGGCAGUAAUCCUAUUGCCCUUCUGAGCUUCCUUGUGAGGCAGAGUCUUUUCCUAGGUGAGAUGGUCCUUUAUUCAUUUAUUUUAUUACCACUAUUGCUUAGCAGUCUUAGAAAAUAAAGGGUUCAAAUCAAAGGUGAA
This is a long non-coding RNA of Alexandromys fortis (reed vole), 956 nucleotides long. RefSeq lists it as uncharacterized. The record is from RefSeq and is a predicted model, not a curated record. The transcript has 3 exons. NCBI's taxonomy places the organism in Eukaryota, Metazoa, Chordata, Mammalia, Rodentia, Cricetidae.